ACACUGAGCACCCCUGGGAGCCAAGGCAGCUUAAGGACAAGAUACUAACACUUCGGACCAGGAAAAAAGAAGCCCAUGACAUGGCACAGCGCUGUGGAGCGAGCGAGAUCUGGGAUGCGUAGGCCUGGACGGCUGAGGCUUGGAAACCCCUCCCCUCCCCAAACUUUCCCACCAUGCAGGGGCCCAGCAGGCCCUCAGCCCACUCACCCCGCCAGAGGAGGGAGGAGGGAGGAGGGUCCGGGCCAGGUGGGAGCUUCUCCCCGGAGGCCUGAGGCAGCUUCCCUCCUCUCCCAGGAAGGGGCUGGCCCAGGCCCAGCUAGGAUGCUCCCAGCCCAGCUCCUACCCGCCGGGUCUUUCCCGUUUGUCAGGCAGGCCGGCAGGCUGGGCUGGUGACUCAUGACUGGCUGGGCCAUCUGCCCUGCACCCCUGCCCCGGGCGAAGUGAGAAACCUGACCGGGCUCCAGCACAGACAGGAAACCCCACCCCAGGGCCUGCAGUGGGACAGGUGUGGCCGCCCUCCACCCCCACACAGGCCUCGGGGAGGGUGUCUGAGGCCGGCCUGGCCCUCUCUGCAGCACUGAAACACCAGCUGCCUCUCCCCAGCCCGGAACUGGGGAUCCAGUGUCCUCCGCACUGACCCCAGGCUCUGCUCUCCCUGGGAAGCACCCGCUUUGACAGUGGGGCCAAGGACUGGGGUUCCCACCCUCCUCUGCCCAGUGGACUUUGUGGCCCCAGGCAGGUGGCAUCAGCUCUCUGGGCCUAAGCUUCUCAUCUCUGCAGGGUUCAUCAGCUCAACAAGCAUUUGUGGGUUCCUGAGACCUGAAGGCUCCACUCCCCCACCUAAGCACACAACAGUCCAGGCACCACCCACAUCUCCCUCUUACCUGGAGCAGAGGGGCGGGUGUUCGGAGCCUUGGGGCCCAGGGUCAUUUGCACUGGAGGGGGCCAGGAACGCUCCCAGGAGUGUGGCAGUCCCUUCCUAGGGGGCCCCUCCUGGAGCAGCUGCCUUGAGAGCCCAGCCUACAGCAGAGCCUGGUGGGGUGGCCGGGCUACUGCUACCUGGCUUCACUGCUUUCUUCUGCCAUUCCUC
RNAcentral lists this long non-coding RNA (1090 nucleotides) under Homo sapiens (human). Its description in RNAcentral is "HSALNT0392124". The record is from RNAcentral. Lineage: Eukaryota; Metazoa; Chordata; Mammalia; Primates; Hominidae.